RNAcentral lists this ribosomal RNA (2924 nucleotides) under human gut metagenome. Its description in RNAcentral is "bacterial LSU rRNA". It matches the Rfam family "Bacterial large subunit ribosomal RNA". The record is from RNAcentral.
UAAAAUAAUUAAGGGCACACAGGGAAUGCCUAGGUAGUAAGAGCCGAUGAAGGACGUGGUAAGCUGCGAUAAGCUUGGGUUAGCUGCAAACGAGCGCCAACCCCAAGAUUUCCGAAUGGAGCAAUCUGCUAAGAUGGAGUCUUAGCACGAAAGAGGGUACCGAGUGAACUGAAACAUCUAAGUAACUCGAGGAAAAGAAAGUAAAAACGAUUCCCCAAGUAGCGGCGAGCGAACGGGGAUGAGCCUAAACCAUAUAAGUGUCAAGGAUACAGCCGUUGCUUAUAUGGGGUUGUGGGAAGAACGUUUGAAGAACUGUAAGAUAUUCAACAUAUCUAAUGACUGAACUGGAACUAGUUGGAAAGCUGGAUCGUAGAAGGUGAUAAUCCUGUACAGGUAAACUCAUUAGAAUGUAUGUUCUCUCCCAAGUAACAUGGAACACGAGGAAUUCUGUGUGAAUCUGCGAGGACCAUAUCUCGUAAGGCUAAAUACUCUUACUAACCGAUAGCGUAUAGUACCGUGAGGGAAAGGUGAAAAGAACCCCGGGAGGGGAGUGAAAUAGAACCUGAAACUGUGUGCUUACAAGCGGUCAGAGCUCUUCGGAGUGAUGGCGUGCCUUUUGGAGAAUGAUCCUGCGAGUUACGUUCAGUGGCGAGGUUAAGUAUAACGGAGCCGAAGGGAAACCGAGUCUGAAUAGGGCGACAUAGUCGCUGGGCGUAGACGCGAAACCUGGUGAUCUAAGCCUGUCCAGGGUGAAGCUGUGGUAAGACACAGUGGAGGCCCGAACUCACCGCCGUUGAAAAGUUGGGAGAUGAGGUAGGUUUAGGGGUGAAAAGCCAAUCGAACUAGGAGAUAGCUCGUUCUCUCCGAAAUGCAUUUAGGUGCAGCCUUGAGUGUUUAAUUAUGGGGGUAGAGCACUGAAUGAACUAGGGGGCAUAUUGCUUACUGAAUUCAAUCAAACUCCGAAUACCAUAAUUCAAAGCUCAGGAGUGAGACUAUGGGAAUUAACUUCCAUUGUCAAAAGGGAAACAACCCAGACCACCAGCUAAGGUCCCUAAUUAUAACUAAGUGGGAAAGGAGGUGGAGAUUCACAAACAACCAGGAGGUUGGCUUAGAAGCAGCCAUACCUUUAAAGAGUGCGUAAUAGCUCACUGGUCGAGAGUCUCUGCGCCGACAAUGUAACGGGGCUAAGUUAUAAACCGAAGCUGUGGAAUUGCGCAAGCAAUUGGUAGGAGAGCGUUCUGUAGGCCGUAGAAGGAGAAGCGUAAGCAACUCUGGAGGUAUCAGAAGUGAGAAUGCAGGAAUAAGUAGCGAGAAAGGGGGCGAGAAUCCCCCUCGCCGGAAGACCAAGGUUUUCAGGGUAAAGCUUGUCUUCCCUGAGUAAGCCGGGACCUAAGCCGAGGCUAAAAUGCGUAGGCGAAUGGAAAACAGAUUAAUAUUUCUGUGCCAGUUAUAUUUUGUGAUGGAGGGACGCAGAAGGGUAUGUGCGCGGGAGAACGGAAGUUCCCGUAAAAGCAUGUAGAGUGGUCUAGUAGGAAAAUCCGCUAGAUUAGACUUGAGGUGUGAUAUAUAGUCGUAAGAUGAAUGCACAAAUCCCACGCUGCCGAGAAAAGCUUCUAACGUUAAGGUAUAACUGCCCGUACCCGAAACCGACACAGGUGGUCAGGAUGAGAAAUCUAAGGCGGACAGGCUAACUCUCGUUAAGGAACUCUGCAAAAUUGCCCCGUAACUUUGGGAGAAGGGGUGCCCCUGGAUGUUAAUAUUCAAGCAAUAUGAAGCAUUUGGGGGUCGCAGUGAAGAGGCUCAAGCAACUGUUUAACAAAAACACAGGUCUAUGCUAAGCUGUAAGGCGAUGUAUAUGGGCUGACACCUGCCCAGUGCCGGAAGGUUAAGAGGAGGAGUGAGAGCUCCGAAUUGAAGCCCCGGUGAACGGCGGCCGUAACUAUAACGGUCCUAAGGUAGCGAAAUUCCUUGUCGGGUAAGUUCCGACCCGCACGAAAGGUGUAACGAUUUGGGCACUGUCUCAACGAGGGACCCGGUGAAAUUGAAGUACCUGUGAAGAUGCAGGUUACCCGCGACUGGACAGAAAGACCCCAUGGAGCUUUACUGUAACCUAAUAUUGGGUUCUGAUAUUCGACGCACAGGAUAGGUGGGAGGCUUGGAGCAUGGUCCUCUGGGAUCAUGGGAGCCGCCGUUGGGAUACCACCCUUCGAAUAUCGGGAUUCUAACCGCAGGAGCAACGAUCCUCGGGACAGUGUUAGGCGGGCAGUUUGACUGGGGCGGUCGCCUCCUAAAGGGUAACGGAGGCGCCCAAAGGUUCCCUCAGCGCGGACGGAAACCGCGCGACGAGUGUAAAGGCAGAAGGGAGCUUGACUGCGAGCCAAACACGGCGAGCAGGUACGAAAGUAGGGCUUAGUGAUCCGGUGGCAUCCAAGUGGAAGGGCCAUCGCUCAACGGAUAAAAGCUACCCUGGGGAUAACAGGCUAAUCUCUCCCAAGAGUCCAUAUCGACGGGGAGGUUUGGCACCUCGAUGUCGGCUCAUCACAUCCUGGGGCUGAAGUCGGUCCCAAGGGCUGGGCUGUUCGCCCAUUAAAGUGGUACGUGAGCUGGGUUCAGAACGUCGUGAGACAGUUCGGUCCCUAUCCAUCGCGGGCGUAAGAGAUUUGAAGGGGGCUGCUCCUAGUACGAGAGGACCGGAGUGGACGGACCGCUGGUGUACCAAUUAUCCUGCCAAGGGUAUAGUUGGGUAGCUACGUCCGGAACGGAUAAACGCUGAAAGCAUCUAAGCGUGAAACCAUCCUUAAGAUGAGAUCUCUCAUAGAGUAAUCUAGUAAGACACCUUGAAGAUUACAAGGUUGAUAGGCAGGAUGUGUAAGCACAGCAAUGUGUUAAGCUGACCUGUACUAAUAUGUCGAGGGCUUGACUUA